This 253-nucleotide ribosomal RNA is filed under the name uncultured bacterium. RNAcentral describes it as "partial 16S ribosomal RNA". It matches the Rfam family "Bacterial small subunit ribosomal RNA", at positions 524 to 776 of the family's 1533-position model. The record is from RNAcentral.
UACGGGGGGUGCAAGCGUUGCUCGGAAUUAUUGGGCGUAAAGGGCAGGUAGGUGGUCUCGUUUGUCUGAGGUGAAAGCCUUGAGCUUAACUCAAGAAGUGCCUUAGAAACGGCGAGACUAGAGUACUGGAGAGGGUCGUGGAAUUCCCGGUGUAGCGGUGAAAUGCGUAGAGAUCGGGAGGAACACCAGCGGCGAAGGCGGCGACCUGGACAGUUACUGACACUCAACUGCGAAAGCGUGGGGAGAAAACAGU